Molecule: ribosomal RNA, 835 nt
Filed under: Tyrannochthonius sp. P9
Lineage: Eukaryota; Metazoa; Arthropoda; Arachnida; Pseudoscorpiones; Chthoniidae
Description: partial large subunit ribosomal RNA
Source: RNAcentral
AUAUUAUUAAGUGGAGGAAAAGAAACCAAAAGGGAUUCCCCCAGUAGCGGCGAGCGAAAAGGGACCGGCCCAAAGCCAAAUCCCGUGUCCUCUGGGCAUCGGGAAAUGUGGCGUAUGGGAGGCGGAUCUUUCCGAACGUUGAAGGCGACUCAAGUCCCCAUGAAUGGGGCUACGACCGAAGCGGGUGUGAGUCCCGUUCAGUCGCUCUUCUCGCGCGGAGUUUCCGUUUUCCCGGGAGUCGGGUUGCUUGAAAGUGCAGCCCAAAGUGGGUGGUAUGCUCCACCUAAGGCUAAAUAUCCCCGAGAAACCGAUAGCAAAAAAGUACCGUGAGGGAAAGUUGAAAAGAACUUUGAAGAGAGAGUUCAAUAGUACGUGAAACCGCUUAGAGGUAAACGGGUGGGCCCUCGAAGUCUGAAGGCGGAGAGAUUCAGUACGGGCGCUAUCGAAAGCGGCUGUCUUUUUGAAGCGUACGCCAACGAGUAGGCGUCGCUUUAGGGAGUUAAGCUCGCGCGCCCGUGCGCAAUUCUGUUCCGCCGGUAAGAGGCCGCGACUGGUUGGUCGACUGUUGGAAGGACAGCCWUUGGGUCAGGUAGCCGACCGCGCUUCGGCGCGGUAGGUGUUAUAGCCCUAGGUGAAUAUCCGACUGUCGCGCCGACUUAGGACGAGAGAAACCUCGAGUAGCGUUCCCUUAUCGCGGGGCGCGCCKARCGAUCGGUCCGCGUCUUGGAAUCACACGUGUUGUGUUCCGUAGGCGCUUCUGGUCGCGAGGCGUCGCGUCCGUCAUGGGAGCCGGAGGUCGGCGGUCAGUAGAUCGGGUCCCACCCGACCCGUCUGA